Equus caballus (horse) is the source of this 2780-nucleotide long non-coding RNA. The record is from Ensembl. NCBI's taxonomy places the organism in Eukaryota, Metazoa, Chordata, Mammalia, Perissodactyla, Equidae.
GCAGCGUCAUUUAGGCUUUGCCUAAAAUGAAUGGACACUCUUCAGCAACACACGAUGUGAAACUGAUCACGAGUUUCCUGAAAUCAGAGUCCUGACUUGCCUGACGAUGUGUGUGACGGAUACAAGUAGAGGAAUAUCUCAUCAGUACGAUGUUCAUGGAUUUGAAACUGGAGGCUAGGAGGAACUUGAAGGGACAGAAGUGCCCCACAUCCUCUUCGUUACAUAGAGGAGAAAAGCCUGUGAAGAGAAGCUGGGCUGGCUUGGGCUGCAGGAACCCGUCCUGAGCUGGACUCUGUUGCUGUCCCACACAUGGCUAUUUUGAUUUGGCCUGACUCCACAGCACAGUGGAGCCUGGCGAUUCCCAGUGGUGGCGAGUGGCCGGAGGCCAGCAGCCUGGCAUGGAGCCUGUCUGGUCAGGGACACUGGACUGUUUCCCUGUCUUUACCCCUGGCUUUCAGCAAGUCUCCUUCAGAGCUCCAGCUUAGUCUGGGUCAUAUUAUGAGGAAUUGGGAAGGCUCUUUCUCCAUCUCAGAAGGAGCAGCCAACGAGAGAGCCAUGUCCCCUUCUUGGGUCCAGUGUAGGAAGUUCAUUGGCAGUUGCCAGCAGAAGACGGCUGUGUCUGAAGGCUCUGCCGCCUCAUAUUGAUCUUUGGAACAGAGCAGUAGAGACAUGGCUUCUGUGGAGGAGCACAGAACAGAAGGACACAAGGGCCUGUUUUGUUUCUUUCAAUCUUUAACACGGUGGGGCAUUUUCUUGUCUGCCUGUGUGUUUCCUUUCCAUUGGCCAUCCCCAACCCCGACUAGUAUGUAAGUCAAUGAGAGGAGGGACUUCUUCAUCCUUACUCACUGUUGAAUCCUCAGUGCCUAGAAUAGUGUGUGCAUAAUAAAUAUUUGUUGAAUGCAUGAGUAGCAAAGAAAGAAGGGAGGGAGGAAGGAUUGAUCAAUUCCUGUUCAAAUACCAAAUGAGAAAAUCUCAGAAAUAGAUGUUGAUGCCUCACACCAUAAUUUGAACAUAAAACUGAAAGGUGUUGUCUCAAAGAGAUACAGCCAUGUUGACAGCAGCAGUCUUCACACAGCUAAAAGGUGGAAGCCACUCAAGUGUCCAUCGAUGGAUGAAUGGAUGAACACCAUGCAGUAUACACAUACAACGCAAUAUUAUUUAGCCUUAAAAAGAAAGGCAAUUCUGACACAUGCUACAAUGUGGGUGAGCCUUGAGGACACUAUGCGAAGUGAAAUAAGUCAGUCAUAAACAGACAGAUACUGUACGAUCCCACUUAUAUGAGGUACUGAGAGUCAUCAAAUUCAUACAGAAAGCAAAAUGGUAGCUACCUAGGGCUGGGGGAAGAGGGGAAUAGGGAGUCAUUGUUUAACGGGUACAAAGUUUCCCUUUGGGUAGACAAAGAGUUCUGGAAAUGGAUGGUGAUGGUGAUUGCACAACAAUGUGAAUGUCUUUAAUACCAUUGAACUGUACACUGAAAAAUGGUUAAGAUGGUAAAUUUUACGCUAUGUGAUUUUUUAGCACAAUAAAAAUAUUUGGAAAAAUACAUGAAAAAAAGCAAAACCAAAAACUGAAAGGUGUAAUAUUUUGUAGUGCCAGGUGUCUGAGGUUUGGGAUAUAAAGAUUAGAUCUAUUAAAACGCAAAUAUCCUGGAUUAGAAUGCAACAAGGCAUUGAAUUUUUAAGAUAAAGCUUCAAAGAAAUUUCAAGCUAUGUCAACCCAUGUUGGGUUUGAUUUCAGAUUAUUUCAUAUUCUGGGAGUACUCAUCCACUUUCUGUUUUUUUAAGUUUGGUUUUUACUUUUAUCAAGAUUAUGUAUGUGUAUGGUUUAAAGAGUAAAAUAGUUCUACAAGACUUGCUAUGAAAAACAGGGGUAAGUUUGCUCUCUCUAUUGUUACCAUUUCCUUCCUUCCACAGGAAACAACUGCUAACCUCUUUCCCAAUUCUUUCCAGGCGCACAUUCACAUCUCUAAAUAAUAAGCUCGUAUUGCUACUUGUUGACUUCAGUAUUAGGUGCUAUCUAUUAGCUUCCACUAUGUAAGGUGAGGGCUUAGCUUCCUUCUCAUCCUGGACCCACACACAUAUACAGUUCCUAUGCCUCUAUCCACCCCACAGUCAUAUCAUAACUUUGGUUGGAUAGAUAUGUGGUGCUCCCACUAUGAUGAUUUUAUAAAUCUUAUGCACAGCUGAGCUCUGUUGUGCCCAAUCAUUCCUUUUCCCUUCCUUCAGUCCUCUUUUCCUGGAGUUACAAAUUGUCUGAUCUUGUUGCCCCUGGUCUGCUCCCAUGUGGAUUGGUUGAUGGGUACAUUUGUCACUCAGAUUCUGUCCUGGGAGUUCCCUUUCCCAUUCUCCUGAGUACGCCCUAUUCUUUCAUGGUUAAUCCAAGGGUCAGAAAACCACAGCCCUUGCCUUGUAAAUAAAUUUGGAUGGGGACACAGCCAAGCCUUUACUUGUGUGUUGUCUAUGGAUGUUCUCAGGCUGCAAAGGGAGAGCUGAGUGUGAGACAAAGACAAUAUGGCCGCAAGGCCUAAGGUAUUUACUAUCUGGUCCUUAAUGGAGGAGUUUUCUGGACCCUCAUGGACUGUAUCAUUUUAUCAAGUAUAUCCUCCCAUUGCUUUUCAGAAGGUUACAGAGAAGAAAAUAAAGAUUUUUGAGACUUUGCAAGCCUGAAAUAUCUUAUUUUCUACUUUCAACUAUAAUUACUGAGUUGGCUGGACAGAAAAUUCUAGGUUGGAAAAUAAUUUCUCUCAAAACUUUUAAUAAACACUUUUGAAGCAAUUAUAU